RNAcentral lists this small RNA (125 nucleotides) under Marmota monax (woodchuck). Lineage: Eukaryota; Metazoa; Chordata; Mammalia; Rodentia; Sciuridae. The record is from RNAcentral.
GCUGGGCAUGGUGGCUCAGGCCUGUAAUCCCAGUGGCUUGGGAGGCUGAGGCAGGAGAAUUGAGAGUUCAAAGCUAGCCUCAACAACGGUGAGGUGCUAAGCAACUCAGUGAGACCCUGUCUCUA